CUUAGCUCAGUUGGUAGAGCAACGGACUGAAAAUCCGUGUGUCCCUGGUUCGAUUCCUGG
This 60-nucleotide transfer RNA is filed under the name Cloacibacterium normanense. It matches the Rfam family "tRNA", at positions 8 to 63 of the family's 71-position model. Rfam says of the family: Transfer RNA (tRNA) molecules are approximately 80 nucleotides in length. Lineage: Bacteria; Pseudomonadati; Bacteroidota; Flavobacteriia; Flavobacteriales; Weeksellaceae. RNAcentral also lists the same sequence under 3 other names. The record is from RNAcentral.